Molecule: unclassified non-coding RNA, 311 nt
Filed under: uncultured Clavariaceae
Lineage: Eukaryota; Fungi; Basidiomycota; Agaricomycetes; Agaricales; Clavariaceae
Description: sequence contains ITS2
Source: RNAcentral
AACGCACCUUGCACCCUCUGGUAUUCUGGAGGGUAUGCCUGUUUGAGUGUCAUUAAUCUCUCAACACGAGAAAACUUGUUUCUUGUGCUUGGAAAGUGAAGGUUUUGCUGGCGCAAAUAACUGUCAGCUCCUUUUAAAUGCAUUAGCAGAACAGUGUAGGACUGGCCUCAGUUUGAUAAGAAAUAUUUAUCUAUGCUGUCGCUAGAUUUCCUCUUUGUGUUCAGCUUCAAACUGUCUUCGGACUGUCUCUCUUGAGGCAAAAUAAUUUAUUGAUCGACCUCAAAUCAGGUAGGACUACCCGCUGAACUUAA